This 31-nucleotide non-coding RNA is filed under the name Rattus norvegicus (Norway rat). The record is from RNAcentral. Lineage: Eukaryota; Metazoa; Chordata; Mammalia; Rodentia; Muridae.
UUCCCAUCUACUUGGAGCCCUUGGUGGUGUU